CGGAUCUCGCGAUGUUUCAGGGUGAGCCGGACGCAGGCGUGCCUGCGCAGUGCGCGGAGGAGUGCUGUUCGUGUGUUCGAGUCCCUGGGUUGCUUCCUGGGGUCUGUGGUGCUGGGUGUGCUAUCUGCGUGUGAUUCUCUAGCGAGAGAUUGUGGGCGAGUGACCGAGUGGGCAAGGGGCCGUCACUGUGUGUGCGUGAUUUUGACAGUGUGUGGUGGUAGCUUCUGACUCCGCGUGGGUCGUUGAAUGUAUGACUGGGACCGUUUAGCGGUGGAUACACAACUGUGUGCGGCUGUGGAAGAUUGCCUCAUCCGUUACGUUCCCAUUUCCGUGGAACAACAGUUUUACCAGAAGGUUUCGAAGGAACCUUAAAGUUUGGAAGCGCGGCUUUGGUGUCAUCAAAUGUGAGAAGCCCUGGACUUUACACAUCCCGAGCCAGUGUGAUCCAGUAUGAUUGGGAGUCCGAGUGCCAGAUGCCGGUCAGGACCUGUUAUGCUGGGUCUCAGAAUGCGGAAACUCUCCCUGUCCGAGGUGGAACAGUUUGUCCUUGAGUGAGGACUGGAGUCCUGAGUGACUCUUUUGAUUUGAUCCUGUUUCCCUCAAACCUGAGAUGGGAGCCUCACUGUAUUGCCCAGGCUGGUCUUGAACUCCGGAGCUCAAGUGAUCGUCUUGCUUCAGCCUUGCAAAAUGAUGGUGAAGCUGCAUCAUUGUCUGGGGUAAAUACCUGAGGUUCGUUGUCUCACGCCAAGGGAAUCAAGGACGUGGACACACAAGAAGUGAGUUUAAGAGCGGAGGUUUAAUAGGCGAAAGAGAAAAGAGAAUAGCUCUAGCUCCUGCAGAGAGAAAAGGGCUCCCAAGUAGGACUUCCAGUCCGUGGCGAAGGGCACGGGGUUUAUAGACUGGCUUCAGGAGGUGGUGUCUGAUUUACGUAGGCCCCAAAGAUUGGUUGGACCAGGUGUGCCAAUCAGAAGCUGGCUGCCCCACCCUAAUCUUUUAUUAUGCAGAUGGAGUCCCUGUCUGACCGGGCCAUGUUGUAUGUUCCUUGCUGUACACGUGGUUGACAAAGAAAAGGGAAGAUGGAGCUGCGAUGUUGGACAUGCCUGGCCCCCAGGACAUACAGCCCUGCCGAGCAAAUAAUGAACGUAACUCACAAACUUCCUGCUUAUCAUCAAACGCACGCAUCCACUUAUCAUCAAACACCUCGGGUGACAGAAGAAUGCAGGUCAGCUCCCUGCUGCCUUGGCAUUAUCAAUCAGCCCAGGAACCAUCCUAUAAAAUCUCCAGCAAGCCUUUGUUUCCUUGCAGUCAGCUCCUCUUCCACUGAUUCUGCCUGUUGCUCCCUGAUAACAUACUUUGAUACUGUCUUUAAUAAAUCUGCCUUUCUUCACCCACAGCUGUCUUGGUAAGUUCUUUUACCUCUGUGCCACCAGCCCAAACAGUUGCUGCUCACCUGAAACAAAGAAUAAAUGUGGUUUUUAAGCAAAUCAAAGUUUACUUAGUGACUCUUACCAAGCUUUGUAGAAGGUUGUGCCAAAAGGAGAAGCUUAAGAGAUAACGGCUAAAAAUAAAAAAUGUUACCACCGCCCAAGGGGUUCUUCCUGCCCACUGCAUAAAGAAA
This 1618-nucleotide long non-coding RNA is filed under the name Homo sapiens (human). Its description in RNAcentral is "PREDICTED lncRNA (TCONS_00136498)". The record is from RNAcentral. Lineage: Eukaryota; Metazoa; Chordata; Mammalia; Primates; Hominidae.